CGUAGGGGGCAAGCGUUGUCCGGAAUCAUUGGGCGUAAAAGCGCGUGUAGGCGGCCAGAUAAGUCCGCUGUGAAAACUCGAGGCUCAACUUCGAGCUGUCGGUGAAACUAUCUGGCUAGAGUCCGGAAGAGGAAGAAUGGAAUUCCUGGUGUAGCGGUGAAAUGCGCAGAUAUCAGGAAGAACACCCGUGGCGAAGGCGGUUCUCUGGGACGGUACUAACGCUGAGACGCGAAAAGCGUGGGGGAGCGAACAGGAUUAGAUACCCUGGUAGUCCACGCCGUAAACGAUGGGUGCUAGGUGUGGGCGGUGUCGACUCCGUCCGUGCCGAAGCUAACGCAUUAAGCACCCCGCCUGGGGAGUACGGCCGCAAGGCUA
This 375-nucleotide ribosomal RNA is filed under the name uncultured organism. Its description in RNAcentral is "bacterial SSU rRNA". It matches the Rfam family "Bacterial small subunit ribosomal RNA", at positions 526 to 896 of the family's 1533-position model. The record is from RNAcentral.